Molecule: ribosomal RNA, 279 nt
Filed under: uncultured bacterium
Lineage: Bacteria
Description: partial 16S ribosomal RNA
Rfam family: Bacterial small subunit ribosomal RNA
Source: RNAcentral
UGCCAGCAGCCGCGGUAAUACGGAGGGGGCUAGCGUUGUUCGGAAUUACUGGGCGUAAAGCGCGCGUAGGCGGCUUGGCAAGUUGGAGGUGAAAUCCCGAAGCUCAACUUCGGAACUGCCCCCAAAACUGCCUGGCUAGAGGCAAGGAGAGGAGAGCGGAAUACCCAGUGUAGAGGUGAAAUUCGUAGAUAUUGGGUGGAACACCGGUGGCGAAGGCGGCUCUCUGGCCUUGAUCUGACGCUAAGGCGCGAAAGCGUGGGGAGCAAACAGGAUUAGAUA